CCGAGAGGCCUAGAGCGCCGGCGCGCGCGACUGCGGGAGGUGGGCAGAGGCGCCAUGUCGGCUUAGGACCGGUCUGGUGCUGACCAGACCCCGACUGCCCCCGCUGGAGAACGGGAGGGGGCGGGGCUUUGACGCCAUUUCGGGUGUGGAUGAUGCUGGGGCGGGGGCUGCAGUGGCAGCUGUGAGAACCAAGCUCGCGCUGGCCGAGGCGGAGGGCUCCGCUCUGGUUGUGUCCCGGAGCACCUUCCCCCGUCGCGGAAAUGUGCCCAGCCGGCCCCGAGGCCAGGCGUGACAAGGCACCGGGCCUGCCGGAGCUGGGGUCUGCCGCCCUUCCCUAGGGCCGCGUGGCGUGUGUAGGAGUCACACAGCGGGCGGCUGGGGGAGUCCCAACAUCUUCACCGUGCAGCAGUGAGAGCGGGAGGGGAGGGGUGUAGGAGGAGAUUGAAACCCGGGGUUGGACCUGUGCCUGCCGGGCCGGUCUGCCUUUUGCUCCGGGUGCCGUGAUGUGGAUCGCUCCGAGGGAAAGGAGAGACGGUCCUGCUCACCUUGGUAUUUCCGUUGUUCCCAGCUGUACUCUUAUUGUCCGAUUGACCCAGGAUAUGGUUUCCCCGCCUAGGGUCGAGGCUGGAACCUUUGCAGAGUUAAAUUGGCUGCUCUCAGCUCUAGGUUUAUGCUGUGAGCCUUCCCCUCCUCGCUCCAGAGGCCUUGGUAGCUGUUGCAAGGACUAAAGGAUUUGGAAGGCAGAGGAGCAGGCGUUUGUGGACACUGUCAUGGACUGCUCACCUGUGCUGGAACGCAUACUUGAUUUUUCAUGGGCUGUGGGGAGUCCUGAACUUUUCAUAUGAAAGCUUUGAAGACUUCUGAUGUUUGCUUGUGCCCAUGAAGUGAUCCCUAUGCAGACUACGAGGAGUCCUUGCAGUUGGAGGCAUAAUGCCUCCUCUGGCUCUGGAGCAAGAAAAUAAAUUCCUGGGUAAAACCAAACAACUUUUCUUGGCCCUGAUGAAGAAGCCAUGUAUGUGGAGCAGAUUCCACAUCCAAGGUGUAGCCUUGAGCACUGCGGACUGAGAUAGAGCUCUGAUCAGGCUAUUGUCCUGGAAGGGAUACAGGUGAGUUCCCUGUGACCUGUCUGGCUCUUGACAGUACCAACAUCUUUGUAAAAACCUGGGGGCCAUGGGCAGGUCAAAUGGGAGCGUUAGAAACAGAUACUGGCUCCUGGCGUAUGCAAAUCUCAGAAGUCUGUAGUGACAUGAUUUGGGGAAUAUGAAGAUAAGAUUCCACUACAUCUACUGAAGUCAAGAAGCCCACUGGGACAGGGAUGACACUGCAGAGACCAUGGUCUCCAUCUGAAACUUUUUCUUCAUCCACUUGUUGAGCCUUUUGAGGUAAAGAAUGACUCUGAUGCACCCCUCCCUACCCUCACUGUUGCAUAAUGAAGAUGUAGAACCCAAAGAACCUUUCUUCUGAGGGAAGGUAUUCUAUCACUCCCAUAUCCAGAAAAUGAGAGAUUUCCUUCUGAAUCAGAUUGUGUUUUAUGGGGUCACUGUUCCCUGAGUCACUUGCGCAUGGUCAAUGAAAACCAUUUCUUUAGGAAAUGGGAGAUCCUGACUGCAGCUUUAGCUGUAGCUGGAGACCUAUGUGAUCUGUGUCAAAGUGGAUGGGGAGAGGGCAGGCAGAGAGGCUAACGUCCCUCUAGACUUUCAGUCCAUUUUCUUGAGGGAAUCUGUUGUGGCUUUGCUGGUACCUCUGAGGAUGAGCAGCAAAAAGAGCACCUCUCUGAAGGCCGGUUUAUAUCAUCUCCUGGGAGACCUUAAUGGGGAAAGAGGAGGCAAUGCAGCACAAUCCAAACAAUCAGCCACCACUUUAUCCAUGUUUUCUUCAAAAAGGAGGGAGCCCGUAACCUUGGCUGAGCACAAGACCUGCAUAGAGUGAGUAGCCACCUUCCAGGAACUGAACCAUAGAUGCUGCAUGGCUGCUGAGCUGGAAGCCAUGGCUCAGGCUGAAACCCUCAUUGUAACUGAUACCUCAACAGAUGCAAAUACUGUUGCUAGUGACUCCUUAAAGUGGAGCCCAAGUGAACUCCCGGAUGGCAUUGAUGUUACAUCCUCCUCUUCCAAUGACUCUGGAAAUUACUGUUGAUGGGACAGAAACCUUCUUUGAUCUAUGCAGAAGAAAAAAGUAUUAAGGGAACUAGAGAAGUUUUGAUGAUCUGAAAUAAGAUUAUUUUACAAUUCUAACAGAAAAAAUAAUCAUAUCAGGAAUAGCUGUUUGAAGCACUUUCUCUACCAAAGACACAGCAGUGAAGUUUUGGCCACCUAAAAGGUGGAUUUUAUGGUGGCUAAACAUUCACUGGCUCCUUUUUUUGGCUAAGGAGGAAGUCCUUGGGAAGUUCUCAGAUACAGUGUGAUGUGGGGCCAUAUCAAUAUUUGGAUGAAUGGCAUUAAAUUCUUGCAAACUCACAGAACUUUGCCGGUGAGGUGAGGGGAUGGGGGGAAGAAGUGCCAUGGAGAGUGCUGUCUCCUCACUCAUGUCAUCCUCCAACACUGCACAGCCUGAACUUCAGGGAGGAGAUUUUGCAGGGAGUGUGAUGAUGGUGCAGGGAAUCAGUGAUACAGUGGAAACACUGUGUACUACCACCGCUCUACUUUUCUCAUGAUCUACUUCCUGCUGAUGCCUUAUUCCUUUUGAUACCUGAUGCCAUUUGCCCAUACCAACCUGGACCAGAGAUGAACAAUGCAAGAGAUAGAACUUUCACAGCAGGUCAGAGGCUCAAAAGAUAUUACCACUCCCCUGAGAAGCAAUUACUGAAUAUUAUGGAAAUUGGGAAGCCAUUUAUGCAAGAUAAAUGGAUAGCAAUUCAAUCCAACAGCAAUUCACUUACUCAACAGCAAGCGUCAACUUCAGAUACUUAGUUUAAGCUCAGAACAGCACUGGAUCCCAAAAAUACUGAACAGCAUAAAAGGAAUGCUUGCUUAUAAAACAGAAAUGGAUAAUAUUUUACUGUUUGUUUACAGUUCUUGUUUACUGCAUUUAAUCAACAUCAGGAGAACAAUCUUUCAACUAUGUUUAAGAAUGGAAGACUUUUGGAGCUCCACUGUGGUUAUAUGAAUAUAAUCAAAUGUCACAUUGGAAGUGUUAGAAUGUUAUAUUUAUUUUUAUGGAAAAGACAAAAUAAACAAAGCUGCCUUCUGUAAUAAUA
Gopherus evgoodei (Goodes thornscrub tortoise) is the source of this 3196-nucleotide long non-coding RNA. RefSeq lists it as uncharacterized. The transcript has 4 exons. The record is from RefSeq and is a predicted model, not a curated record. NCBI's taxonomy places the organism in Eukaryota, Metazoa, Chordata, Testudines, Testudinidae.